AGAAAAGAUGAUGUCCUGGGAAGGAGUAGGAUGUAGUCACAUUGUCUGCUCUUGAAUUCGUGGAACUGACAUGUGACUGUUCCUUUGCCAUCCCACAUCCUGCCAGCCUUCUGGUUCUUGAAAGAGCCUCUUUUGCAGAUCCUCCUAUUUACUUGUUUGUCUAUCGACCACGCUGAGAAAGGCUAUGCGGAGCUUGGUUGUUUCGGUUUUCUGCCUGUUUGCUGGGAAUUAUGGAGACUGCUAUCACAUUCCCAUUAGUAUCAUGAUUGGAAUUGUAGUUGGAGAUAUUCUUCUUACUGUGCUCCUUCUAAUUCCUGUCUAUUACUGCAUUCGUCCAAAGGAUACAGAACGGAAAGAUAUGGGUAAUAGGAAUUACAUAAACAUGACUGGAAGAAAUAAGUGACUCACAUUUCUCAUCUGAAUACCAUCCCAAGAAUUUCUACUGUAUCAGAGAUGAACAAAAGCAGAACUCCUACAACCCAGA
Molecule: long non-coding RNA, 484 nt
Filed under: Salvator merianae (Argentine black and white tegu)
Lineage: Eukaryota; Metazoa; Chordata; Lepidosauria; Squamata; Teiidae
Description: lncRNA (ENSSMRG00000004930.1)
Source: RNAcentral